UCCUGUUUUAUCAAAAACAUAGCCCCUUGAUUUCCAUGAGGGGUCCUGCCUGCCCAGUGGUAUUUCUAAACGGCCGCGGUAUCUUGACCGUGCAAAGGUAGCAUAAUCAUUUGUCUUUUAAAUGAAGACUCGUAUGAACGGCAAAACCUUCUUUAACUGUCUCUCUCAUCUCCCUUCUAAACUCUUAUCCACGUGAAGAAGCGCGGAUACUCCAGAAAGACGAGAAGACCCUGUCGAGCUUCAGUCUUAAUGGGAAACACACCCCCUAAACUUUAUAGGACUAUCGUCAAUCCUACCCAAGGCUUUGGUUGGGGCAACCAUGGAGAAAAAAUACCCUCCAGCAGUAAUAGAAGAAAUCAACUCUCUAUAACUUACAGUAACGAACCAGAAACUGGUAACCGGAAAAAGUUACCGCAGGGAUAACAGCGUUAUCUUCUCUAAGAGUCCUUAUUGACGAGAAGGUUUGCGACCUCGAUGUUGGAUUAGGGCAUCCCUAGGGUGCAGAAGCUCUAAAAGGUUGGACUGUUCGUCCAUUAAAGCCCCACGUGAUC
RNAcentral lists this ribosomal RNA (551 nucleotides) under Holothuria sanctori. RNAcentral describes it as "partial 16S ribosomal RNA". It matches the Rfam family "Bacterial large subunit ribosomal RNA", at positions 1798 to 2605 of the family's 2925-position model. Lineage: Eukaryota; Metazoa; Echinodermata; Holothuroidea; Aspidochirotida; Holothuriidae. The record is from RNAcentral.